Molecule: ribosomal RNA, 433 nt
Filed under: uncultured bacterium
Lineage: Bacteria
Description: partial 16S ribosomal RNA
Rfam family: Bacterial small subunit ribosomal RNA
Source: RNAcentral
AACGAACGCUGGCGGCAUGCCUAACACAUGCAAGUCGAACGAAACCUUCGGGUCUUGUGGCGCACGGGUUCGUAACGCGUGGGAACCUGCCCUUAGGUUCGGCAUAACUCCCCGAAAGGGGUACUAAUACCGGAUAGUGUCUUCGGACCAAAGAUUUAUCGCGUUUGGAUGGGCCCGCGUUGGAUUAGCUUGUUGGUAGGGUAAAAGCCUACCAAGGCGACGAUCCAUAGCUGGUCUGAGAGGAUGAUCAGCCACACUGGGACUGAGACACGGCCCAGACUCCUACGGGAGGCAGCAGUAGGGAAUAUUGGAAAAUGGGCGAAAGCCUGAUCCAGCAAUGCCGCGUGAGUGAUGAAGGCCGUAGGGUUGUAAAGCUCUUUUACCCGGGAUGAUAAUGACAGUACCGGGAGAAUAAGCUCCGGCUAACUCCGUG